GAUGAACGCUGGCGGCAUGCCUAAGACAUGCAAGUCGAACGAGGUGGCCCAUUGACAAUUAUUGAAAGUGGAGUGCUUGCACAAAACUGGAUUUAAUUUGAUUUGGAUUUUCCACCUAGUGGCAAACGGGUGAGUAACACGUGGGUUACCUACCCUUAAGUUGGGGAUAACAGUUGGAAACGAUUGCUAAUACCGAAUGUACUCUUUGGAGCAAAGAAGCCUUUAAAGCUUCGCUUAAGGAUGGGCCUGCGGUGCAUUAGCUUGUUGGUGGGGUAAUGGCCCACCAAGGCAACGAUGCAUAGCCGAACUGAGAGGUUGAUCGGCCACACUGGGACUGAGACACGGCCCAG
Molecule: ribosomal RNA, 350 nt
Filed under: uncultured bacterium
Lineage: Bacteria
Description: bacterial SSU rRNA
Rfam family: Bacterial small subunit ribosomal RNA
Source: RNAcentral